AAUUGAAAUGUCUGAUAGGGACAAUGCUGUUUUUCUUUAGCUAAAAAUAGUAACAUCAAAUACUUAUUUAAUCUUUAAAAUGUUUCAGGCUUUUAACACCAAGACUGGGUAAUUUCACUCUUUUGGUUUUUUUCUUUCUAGCUAGUAUCUUUGCUCUGAAGCUUUCUCAGGGUACAAGUAUUUACCAGUUUCAUCUCAAAUGAUGAAGUUAUUAGCCACUUAAGUUGAUUAUCUCCCUGAAAAGAUUAAAGAGGUUUCAUUUUUUGAAUGGCACUCUUGAGAUUUGGCUCAAGUGUUUGUGAUUUGGAGUAGCUGUAAAAUUGUUGUAAGAAAUAUGACUCAGUAAAAAGCUUCUAAAAUACUCAGACAUCCAGGAAGCAGUUUUAGGUCCUGAGUUUCUCUUGCUGAUGCAGACAGCAAAUACUGCACUCCUUGUCCGGGAGUGGCAGUGUGGUCUUCUGCACAGCCCUUGGGUUCUCCCUCUAUGUCUAGGAAUAUGUCAGGAAAAAUGUCAGGAAGGUGCCACAUGUGUUCAGCACAGUCAGGGUUUGCUGUGAGAGUCACUGAGAAAAUGCUUGUUGUAGAGUCUUCCCCUCCAGACCUGUUCUUCUUAAGCCGUGCUAUCUGAAGGCCCUUUGGAUGGGACUUGCAGGAGCUGAGUCUAAAUGCCUUUUAUCUCAGAACUCUGGACUUUACUAUUAUGUGUGGCAUCCCAAAUCCUCCAUCUUUAACCCUGAUGUUCCACUGGAUUAUUGUAUUUCAGCCUUUGAAAAAUUUUAUUCUUUUCAUCAAGCAUGCACAAAAAUACUGUUGAAAGUUCCACUCAGUGUCAAGGCUAUUGGUUCUUCCAGUUUGCCGCCAGGGGUGCAGCUCAGAACUGCUUUAGAUGGAUCAAGGAAGAUGCCCAAUUACUAGUUAAUUUUCUCCUUAGAUGUUCAAAGACGAGUCCUCUUGUACAUCAGCAUAAUUUAAAAAAUAUUUUUCUUAAUUAAUUAUUCUAAAGCUCUCUUUGCUUAUGAAGCUCUUGCUACCCUUUUGAAUCCAAUUAUUUAUAAGUAACAUGUUUAGCACAUAUUCUUGGGGGAACCAAGCCCUGUAAGUCAGACACUGGUGUUUUGGUGUUGGUCCAGUGCCCAGUCUCAAUGCCUGUGAAAUUGCCUGAAAACUCUUACAAUAAGUUUCCUGAAUAUGCCCACAGUGAGCUGGAAAACAAUGGUGUCUCACUGAUGGAUUUACCAGGGACUAACUCACCACGCUGCCCUCCUCCCUUUGGCAGCAGGUAUCAGAACUUUGAGCUGUGACUGUAAAAGAAAGAAACAUCACUGCCUGAGCUUGAAAAAAAGGAAAAUCUUAGUGACAACCUUCACAGCAUUUGAUAGCUUCUUUCCUCAGGGGCCCCAUCACCAGUGGAGAGGUGCAGUGCCAGUCUGCAGAGGAAGUUCUGUCACCACAGCAGAGUCCCUUGAUGUCCUUCUGGGGACUCCAUCUGAAGGAAGGACAGGAGCUGCUAUGUUUGCUCAAUAGAAGAGAGUUCCCUUUAAGAAUCACAAGGAAUGCAAGGACCAGCAGCUCUCCCUUGAACCUUUGCCCUUGCAUUAUGGACCUUUUGUGAUUCCUGUUUUCAAGUUAGCAUGAAACUUACAGGUCAGGUGGGAAGUCUCCUCCCUGAUGAGUACUGAGCUGGCAGCUUCUGAGCUUUUGGUAUCAGAAGCAAAGUUGCUGCUGACUGACCAGACUUGGAGUGUCUCCUCUUUACCUGUGCAGCGCCUGUGACAGACCCCACAGAAGGGUCUGUGGGCUUUGUGUGGCUCUGGCUACAAAGGCCAGUGCCUGACCUUGAUGAGCUUAACAAACCCAGAUCCUCUGGUAUCUUAGUGUGACCCUGAUUUACAGGGCACUUUUAAGCCCUACCAUCCUGAUUCUUACAAUGUCCUGACUAAUCAGAUUAACCCCAAAUCUCGAGCUUAUUCUUUCUACUCAUAGGUAAAGAAUACCAUUUUUCCUGAGAGAAAUUAUUUUCAAAUACCCAUUUAUGAGCAUGAGUUGAAUAACUGAAAAACAGUUACAGUUUCAUCAGAGAGAGAUGGGUUAUUAAGGUGGAAAUUGUUAGAUAGCAGUAUCAUUUGAUUUCAGGGCAGUAUAUGCUGCUAGGUUCUGAGUUUUUUCCCUAAAGUUGAAAAUGUGUCAGAUUUCAGCCUGGAUCCUUAUUAUCCAGAUGGAAGUCUCAGUCUUAUGCUACCACAGAUUUUGCAAGCUUCUCUUACAAGCAUAUUAAAGCUCUAGUGUUGCCAUAUUUCAUUUGGCAAUAAUUAUGUCCUUUGCCUCUCUUCUGGAUAAUAUUUAGCUAUUAUUACUUGCUACUGUUCUGCUGGGAGCGCUAGUUUGCAUUUAAUUACGGAUCACUUGCAAAUAGCCUAUAUGGCCCUGAUUCAGCAAACACUUCUAGCAGGUGUGUAAUUCUAAAGCAUUUAAGUUCUAUGUAGCUCACAUCCUCUGUUAUAUUUUGUGCCUGGCAUGCACUGAUUGCAUGAACCCUAGAUCUAGAAAGUGUCUCCAUGCAGGUAGGGACUGUUGCACAUUGUUCUGGCUCCAUGACCUUGUAGGCGUGAUGCUGAGGCCACUGAUUGCCACACAUGUCAUAUUGUAAGGUAUCCCCUUAAAUGGCUCUGGCAACCCAUUAGCAUUAGAUAGAACUCUAGGACUUUUAGACUUUUUAGAAGGGACAACAGCUUUUUGUCAGCUUAGGACAAAGCAGAGCCCUCUAUCCUGCAUGUUUCCUUGGCUCAGUAUAAAUUUUACUAAGAAUCUCUAUACCAGAAGUAAAACUUGGCUAAAUGACCUACCAGGCAGCAGGACAUGCCAGGCACAUUCACAAUAUUGUAUGAUUUAAUUGGCUAGUUGGAAAUGCAUAAUAAAAUACAGGGUGUUUGAGUUAUUACUUAGCUGCCUAUGUAAUUACUUCUGUUUAAUAUUUAAUUGUGUUGAUCUUUCUGUCUUGUCUUUGUUCCACACAGAAAAUAGAUCCCCCUUUUUGUCUAUUCACAGGCACUGGGCUACUGCGUAGAGGGCAUUGCAGCUAAUCUUCCUGAUUGUUCAAAUGUCACCAUAAAAUAUUUAGCAUCUUGAUAACUCCAAAGCUAUCAAAACAGAUUGGAUGGUAACAAUUAAAAUUAUGCUAACAUUACUAAAACAGAUAUAACGGAGUGAUGCUUGUUAAGCACUUAAUGAUCCCUUUCUCCAAGGAAUUCCAUUUCAAUUUCUUUAUGCUGCCUGAUUGCUUUACUGCAUCCUGCAGGUUUUGUGCACUGCUGCUCUGUGUAAUACAUAUUCAAACCCUUCUCUGAGCUCUCAUCAUGCCAAUCAAGGAUGCAAAUGAAGUCUGUAUGACUGUGUGAUCAGAAUUUCUUGCUUGUUUGCAAGCCUGUAAAUAAUGGAGUGAAUAAGGAUCUGAUGUGUAACGGUAUCAAAGUAAUCAGACCUUGUAUCUGGCUUCUAGUAAACAUCAGUAUGGCCCUGAUCCAACCACUGCUGUAAUCAAUGGGAGGCUUUUAUUGACUUUAAUGGGAGUUGAAUUAGGCCUUGUCUGAGGCUUGAAAAUUCAGCUGCAGCUAUUGGGGCUGAUCCUUGGCUGGUGUAACCUGGCUUUGUGCUCCUGGAAAUCAGACAGCUGAUCUGCCUCGCCCUGCCGAGGAUGUGGCAGGCAGCACCCUUCCCUGAACUACUGUCACCCUGCACACACUCCAGUUUUCUGUGUCAGGGGAGCUUUGGGCUUUGCUUCAUUCAGCUAUUCACUUAUGAGCUUAAACUGCUCUCUGAACAGUGUUUGAAAUGUGUAAUUAUCGUUAGAAAAAUGUUUUACUUGAAAGGGAUUCUAACAAUCAUUAUUUUGAACUUUAGUUUUUUGAUAUUUUCAUUGUUUAUAAAGGAACAGUAUCUAUUCCUUUUGCUUUCCUUUGCCUACGAGGGAAAAAUGAGCCUAAUUAGCAAAACCAAAAAUAAACUAAGUUGAUCAGAAAAGCAGUACUUACAAAUUUGCAGACCUUCCCUUGCAAAUGCUGAUAUGAGUAAUUAUAAAGGCUUUAUGAAGUGUCCUUGCUUUGCAGUUUUGUGUCGAUGAAUGGGUAGAGAAGACAGUAACUCUGUGUGGAUGAAAGGCUUUUAAAUGCAACUUUGUGGAUCAUCUGUACUAUGGACCACUUAGAGCUGUGAUACCCGUCCUGUUUCUCAAGUACUACAAUGAGUGUAAAAGACUUCGUGAAAUUCUUUGAGCUGAUUCUUAUUCUGGGCUCUCUGUUUGAAAGGAUAUAGAAAAUACAUCCUUUGGGAAGUCUUCUGGCCAGCUGAGCUCUCCAAGGAUAAGCUUGAAAACAUGUUAGAUUGAUGUUCUGGAGCAGCUCCAAGAAAGCUUGGCCAGUGUGUGAUGGCAACUGCACCUACCCUGAAAUUCAGGGAGGGAAAUGUGGGCCUGCCUCUGGGUUGUGUAUGUGUUUAUAGGCUCAGCCUUCAACAGUGACAGUCAGCAGAGUUGCUGUAUCCUCCAACAGGGUGAGGGUGAUUUAUGCCAGCUGAAAAUCUGGGUCUCCACAUCCUUAUGCAUGCAGAGACACCACUGGUUGGCUUUUGCUGAGUUUUUUUUUCUCAUUUAAGUGUUAUUUCCAACAAAGGCAGUGGAAGCAACUUAGAUGCUGGUUUUCCAGCAACAGAUUUGUCCUGUGUGUAGGGAGGUACUUGGCUGUGUUGGGAAGCAGGAUACAACCCCAUGUCACCCCUCAGCAGACUGGGUGGUGGCAGUACCUUGGCUCUUCUGCUCAGCCUGGGAGUCAGCUGGGGCCAGUGCUUGGCCAGGUGACCCUCUGCCCACAGGACACGUGGUGUGCUCUGGAUCCCACCCCCCGUGGAUCCCACCAGCUUUUUCCAUUGCUUCCUUGCGAGGUUAAGGUGCCUUUACGGGUCCUGCUGGCAGUUCUGGUCCAGACUUGUGUAGAAAGAAUCUCCUUCCAAAAGGUCUAAAAAUGCCUCAGAGUUUUAAGAUUCAUGUGAGAAACCCCACUUCAAUCUGGCCAUUAAACAUUGCUAUGAAUAAAUGCUCUGCUGCUCCAGUUUUCAACAGAAAGGCUUCUUUGCCUGGCACUAUCAGGCUCAUUCUCCUUUUCAGAUCUAAGUUGGAAAACAGAAGGUUCUGCUAGUCUUUACAGGGUUUAAUUUCUCUUCUGUUUUAUAAAAUCCUGUCUUUGGAGAUGAGUUCCAUAAUAACCCUCUUUUAAAAACAGUGUUUGCCACUUAGCUCUUUUCCAUUUGGAGGUGUUUUAUUUACAGUAAAUUAAAGCAAGAAGGUAAAGUGUUUUCUAUUUUCCUAUGUUCUGUAUUCAUAGGCUUUAACAAAUGCCUUCCAUCCCCUUCUUGUGUUCAUUCAACAUCAAACCAUGCAGGAGUAAGUCAAGGCUCAUCCUUCUGCCAUGCUAUGCUCUUCUUGAUCAUUCAACUGAAACGUAUUUGUUUGUAGGUGAAAACUACCACUGCUUUUUCUUGUUUCUCUAGUGACUUUGGAGUUGCACCUUUUCUCUUUUGUUUAAGGGUUCCAGUUCAUGGUGAUAUUUAAGAAAAAAAGCUGAACUCAGCCAAAACACAGAAGAAUUGAAGAGGCCUGGUCAUCAGAGGGGAAGAAUAUAGCCUGAUAAGUCUGCAGAGUAAGGUUGUAGAGAUGCGUCACUUUAUUUUAAUUAAACAUCUGUGCAUUCUCACCGACUUGUGUUCUGCUGCUUUUCUGGUGAAUAGAGGGAUUUCCUCAGUGAUGCUGUUUACUUUUUGUUCACUCAUAUUUGAGUUUGCAAAUUGUUUGAAAGCAAUUUAACUUUUCACGUAGAAAUUUCAUACAGGUGAAGGCUUUUCUGUACUAGGGAAAAUGUGAACAGAAUUUACAUUGCAAUGUUGAUUUUAAAGUCCUAGAGUGUGGGAUGCUCUAGAACUGCCUGUUGCCAAUGUGUGGAGCAGUUCUUCCACCUGUUUACCUUCUCAUUUUACACUUUCUUUUUUUUCUCCAGAUAGAUAUUUUAUUUCCUCACAUCUAUUUCCUGAAGAGUUCAUUCUCUUUCCCAUCAGCUCCCAGUAUCUGUUUGUCUUUCACCUCCUCGUGGGACUCUGCUUAGUACCUCUCCCUGACCCAGUCUGUUUGGUCUUGCUCUGCCACUGUUAAAAGUUCAGGCCACAAAGACUUUGCCCUUGUCAUGUUCAUGUGCAAUUAGCACAGAGUGCCAGACAGGAGCUGCAGCUCCGGCUGCUGCUGAGGGCGCUGGGAGCCCGGCCGUCGAGUUCAGGGGGGUUAGCGUUUGGGCACAUCAGGGCCUUUCAGUGCAGCGUAGCUUGCAAGUAAUUUAUAAUAUUAGAUGGACAAACAUGUCAUGAUUAAGUCCUUAGAAGCCUGUAAGAAGCUGUUUUUACACAGCCAUUCCUGGUGUGUUGAGAUUAACUGUCCUGUCAGACUGGGUGUGUGUACACUUCCAGGCAGGAGCUGACCUCUCCAGCAGCUGUAAUUAGAAACAAUUCUCAGAUUUAUAUGAUGAGUUUUAUUUCACAGGGUGCACAUACAGUCCACACAGAGAAGUUUUUUUCCACAAAUUGAACUUGUUCUCUCAAAUGCAACUAUAUCUCCAGCUGUCUUUAGAAUACCCUGCACUGUCUGUGAGUGCUGUAAAAUGACUGCAAGCUUAUAAAUUCACCUUUUUGCAGUUAUUAAAUGUGCUUUACUCAUUCCAGCCUGUUGCUGUGGAAGUAGGUACAAUAUAGAAACCUUGGCACUAUGACAGGCAAUUAAAAUACCAAGAUGUUUAGCCAUGUAUGAGUAUUUUCACACAGUGAGACCUCUAAGCUUAGCCUGGUGCUGACAUUGUUAAUUAUUGAAUCAAUUGCAUGAGAUGAGGUUGACAGGUGUAAUUAUAUAUUUCUAUGGUGAUUAUGUAUGACCUGUCAUAGAGACCAACAUGCCUGUAACUUUGCACUCAUUUAGUAGUCAUUUAUUGAGUGAAGUAUUGGAGUUGGCAUGCCGUUUACAAGGGAAGGAAAUGUAAAACAAAACAGAAGUCCAUUUUGAAAUAUAAUUGAUUCAUUAAACCAUUUACCAAUGCUUCGUUUUAGUACAUGGAAAUAUAUCUUUCCGUAUUUCCUGCAGAUCUCUCAGUUAUUUAAGCAUAUUCUUGCACCCUGACUUUAACAAAAGAAUAAAACUCACGCGACGAGUUAGUGAGAACCUGGGUCUCAGGUCUUCUGCUGCCAUAUGCUGGGAGAGGUUUGGGGAGCUUGCUGGGACCAUCUGAAUAUGGACCGUUUAAAAAUAUUUGGCUUACUUGUUAAAGAGCUCAGAAUCUUUCAAAAUAACCUCCUUUCUAUGCAAACACAUCUGCACAAUCUUCUUCUUUGUAAUAGCUGUUCUUUAAUGUGUUAAAAAUUAUACAAAUAUUUUUGGAAUUCACUGAAGUGAACUUGGGCUGGUGCUGGAAUUCCUCAUUCACUUUUCCAGAUAAAAAUUUUUCUAUGUAGUGACAUCACACAAAACUUUGCUGUAUUAUUUCCCAUGUAGUUCUCCCUGGUGUUAUGUGCCACCCUGAUGAUGUGAAUGAAAAGACUCUGUUUCUCAAAGUGAGAGGAGGCAGAGAGAAAUUAAAUAUUGCUCUCAGUUUAUUAAGAGGUCCUUGGACUUGGUUGAAGUCAAGCAAACAAUUUGACUUACUUUCCUUAACCACAUCUCUCUGCAAUAUAACUAUUGCCUUAUUCACAGAAAUUUUGAUGUGUAAGAGCUAUCUGAGGUGGGGUAAAAAUAAAUUUGGGUUAGUACCAACUUUUGUUUGAUUUUAAAGAUUAGACUGUCAGCAUUUUUUACAAUAGCAGUAGGUAUAAGAGUAGUUGCUGCUUCAAGAUGGGAGUCUCGUUUUCUUCCUUAUCACUGUGGGCUCCUGGUGGGGAUUUAGCUGAAUGAUGAAUAUUUAGAAAACUGUCCUUUGGAAUCAGGAAUUAAACUAGGUUCAAAUGCCAAAAAGUGGAUGCAAACCUAAACUUGGAAAGUUUCAUCCCAAAGUUUGGAAGAACCAUUUUUCCCCAGUCUCAUCUGCCUAGAAUACGUUGGUCAUAAGUUUUCUUGUAGGAAGCAUUUGGGUUAAUAUCUGGCUUUCUAAUCAUGUGCUUGGAAAGACAGCUUUUGUGGCUGUUCCAGAAAACUUCCCAAGCAUGGAAUAAAAUGCAUGCUGUUCCAAAAAAAAUAUGCUGAAUAAAGUGAUGUCUGGUGAGUUGCAUUUUUGUUUUUCUAUCACUAAGCUAGAGUUUGAGGGCUUUUUUAUAAAAUUAUUAUUAUUUUUUGUUUUCUUGUAAUGAAAUUCUGUUCAAGUAGAAGAAUAUUUGAUGUUGGAAGAGGUCUCUGGAGAUCAUCUCAUCCAAGCUGCCUGCUCAGAGGAGAGUAAAUUGGAGAAGGUUUCCCAGGAUCAUGUCCAGUUGGGUUUGGAAUAUCUCCAAGGAUGAGGAGAGUUCACUUUUUUAGGUGUCCUAUUCCAGUGAUCAAUCACUCUUACAUAAAAGUUUCUUAUGUUUCAAUGAUAUUUGCUGUAUUUUGCUGUAUUUGAAAGGCAUUGCCUGUCUUUCUUUCACUAGACACCAUGGAGAAGAGUCUGGCUCUGUCCUUUCCUCCUCCCAUCCAUUUAUAAAAUGGGUAGAAUUCACUCCGUGUGGAACAAUCCUAGUUAUCUCUGCUUUUUCUGUCAGAUGCUCCCUUGCAGUCUCUGGGACAAUAUAGAGGAGAAAUACCCAUUUUCUCUGUGACUGAGAAAUCUGUUUUUGGGGGGGCUGAAGAGAGGAGCAGGUUGGAGACACUGUGAUAGAGCAGAUGGUGGUGGGGGAGCUGCUGAUGCAUUUCAGUGGAGUCCUUUAGAGCCAGGAACUGCCUGCACAGUGAGGGUGGGAUCAGUCAUCUUUUGGACAGAGAUGAGUUGGGAGCUCAGGGCCUGAUGAAUACCAACGGCCUAAGGCAGACCUGAAAAUUUAUAAUAAAGAACUGCAGUGGGCAUGAGGAAAAAAGGAGGGGGGCAUCAAACGGAGCUUCCUGGCAUUGUUUGUCCCACUCAUUUCAUUCGCCCCAGCAAUGUGCCUCCCUGGUGUUAUGGCAAACUGCUUCCUCUGAGCAGCUUGGCUGCCUCUUCCCAGAUGGACUGCACACCUCAUUACCAAAGAGGGGGUAAUGUAUUUUCCUAAUCUGCAGUUUUAAUGCCCUCCUGGAUAGCCCUAAAACCAACCAAAUGCUGUGUGAAGGAAAUAGAGCGCAAGCCUUGACAGGCCACUCAGGACCACACAUCCCCUUGCUGUCAUCACAGCACGGCCAGCUCAGAAGCAGCAGUGACAUUUACUCAGGAUAGGAUACGAGCAAAGGGGAGAAUUUGCUUUUCCCAUGUACACUUUCUAUUCUCAUACACUACUUAUUUCUGACUUUAAAGUAAUUCUCUGUGUUUUAUUCCAGCCUUGACCAUGUGGAUCCAAGUGCUCCCAUAACUCCUGUUGAUGAUGUUCUAACAUGAUACAGCCAUAAACUGGAUCUUUCUUUUCUUCUAAUGUACCCUUUUUAAUUAUCUAAAGACUAAACUUUUGAAUACCACUUCUCAUUUGCACGCUGGAUUUAAGGCUAGAAAGCAAGUUUGCUUAUUUAAUAUUUGCUUUGAUUUGGUGAUUAGUCAUUGUUCUUAAUGAUUUUUUACCAUUUCCACAUGAGUGAUCAGGAAAUGAACAGCUGUCUCACACUUUCAGCAAGUUAAAACCAGCCUAACUAUGGUAUUUCCUUAUUGACUUUUUACUUGCCCCCGUGCAGAAUGUUUUAAGAUGUUGCUUCUCUUGAGUCGCCCACCUCACAGCUUGAGUAAUGCCACAGCUUUUAAAAAUGUUUCCCUUCUGACUUGCCAAGGCGAUGAAGACAAGUAAAGUCAUCCAGCAUAAAAGGUAUACACCAACAAAACAUGAAUUAAAGGUGUGGAUCAAAUUGCAAUCCAAACAAGAAGAAUAUUAGAAGCAGUUUUGGAGACUGAGGAGACCAGUCCUGUGGCACACAUCUGCAGUGAGAAAUAACACCAUCCUGGGAUCCUGUGUGAUGUUUAUACACUGACAGCAAAUCCUCUUAAAAAAGUAAAAAUAAGUGGCUUGCUGCCCCUUUUUUUUGCUGAUGUUUUCCUUUUAUCUUUUCAUUCCUUUUCAAAUUGAUAAUGAUUUUAAAUUGCUCCUCACCACAGAAAGUGCUGUUUUCCAAGAGCAGUGAUUUGAUUCUUGUAAUCUUAUUUAUUAGUUAAAUCCAAUAAGUACCCAGCCUAUGCUCUAAAUGCCUUUCAAAAAUACACUAAUAAACACGCCUUGAUUGCUUUUUGAUUGAAUUGCAGAUAAUGAUAUUUAUAUCAUCAGUGAGUUAAGUUAAUCAGCCUUCCUAUAGGGGCGUUUCCAGCACAGACACUCCACUGUCUGUCUUCCUGCAGACACGAGAUGAGGAUGAGCUUUCUCUGUACCCCUGCAAUCUUGGGCUUUUGGGGCUUUAACAGAUUCGCUGCAAUUAUUUGACUGAUAGGAGUGUUGUGACAGAGAUUUAUUUGUGCAAAUAGUAAGUGUUGCAGAGUCAGACCAGAAACUGCUGGGGCUGGUGUAAUUCGUGGUGCUGAGCAAAGAAGAAUGGUGUGCAGGUCUUUUCACUUCAUGUGCUUUUUGUGCAUGUUUUUAGAUGUGAAUCCUGGUUUCUUUGAAGUGGCAUUUUGUCCUUAAGCAUUAGGAUUUGGGCACUGCAAAGCUGGAUUGGAGUCAUCACUGGAUGCAACAUGGCUGAUUUUGCAGCACCUGUAUGUGUACCUCGUUUCUGGUGGGUUUGAAGAGAGAUUAGUAAAGAACUGAAUGGAACUGUGAUACUCCUGUCAGGGCUAGGAAAAUGCCCAAGAAAUAUCCUGGAAGGCUUUUUGCUUAGCUAGCUGAAGAGUGACACAGCAAGAGAGAAGACACGGAAAUUCCUCUGCUUUACAUGAGUGUGUUUUAAAAGGCUCCUGAGCCUUCUCUGAAGCACAAGGCAGCAUUUUCUGCUUGGGUGACACAAUAGCCGCAGAGUGCUCCAGAAACUGACAUCUUUUGACCCACGCUGGAGGUCAAACCGAAUCUAACACAGGCAGACCACAUUCCACAAGGGUGGUAAUCGCUGGUGUUCUCGGCAUGGGGUACGCUAAUAGGAAAACAACUGCGAUGUGGUGUGGCUUUCUAAGUCUUACAGCUCCUGAAAGGUUACAUCAGUUCCAGAGGAGAAGAAAUAAAGUACUUUGCAAAUGUUGCUGCAGGAAGAUUUUCUCUUAGUAGCCAAACUUAGAUGCUUUCUUGAAUUUAUUUUAUUGUUUUAGUCAGUGUAUUAAUGGCAUGAUGUUUCUUAUAAAAUCUGUUGCUAGCCAGUUGCUUCAGUCUAUUUAAAAACUUAAAGUAAUUUAAAAUCAAAGGGAAUCUUUGUUUAACUGGCAGACAGCUGAAGGAUGAACUCUUAACAUCACCCUGUUACAUCCUGAGCUGAAGUGGGAAGGCAGCUUACAGUGGCGUGGGCACUGAGCUGGGAGUAGGCUGCUGCUGUAGCUGUGUUACACUGAUAAUACCUCUUAAUCCGUCUUUUGAACUGACUGAUAAUGCAUCAAACCUAGUCACAGCCUGUAGGUGACAUAAUACUGUUCUUGCAAUUUGUGCUCUUCAGCAAAGGUGACCCCCAGGACUGGCAGAAAAAAUGUCUGAUGGUUGCUUCUUCAAGUCUGCUGCACAGGAUCGCUCAGGAGGCUCUGGAGAGCUCAGCAGAGCAGUCACAGACAGCAGCCCUGGAGAGCCGGAGGCUGCGUCCAGUCCUGGUGCUUCCAGCCCCGAGGCACGGGGAUGCUCUUGUCAGCUCGCAGGGAUCCUUGCUCGCUGAAUUCCUGAUGGUUUUAAUGCCUGAUUCAUAGCCUUUGGCUUGUGAGGUGCUGCAACAGGGAGGCUGAU
Molecule: long non-coding RNA, 12003 nt
Organism: Corvus hawaiiensis (hawaiian crow)
Lineage: Eukaryota; Metazoa; Chordata; Aves; Passeriformes; Corvidae
Exons: 3
Source: RefSeq, a predicted model, not a curated record